RNAcentral lists this ribosomal RNA (397 nucleotides) under uncultured bacterium. Its description in RNAcentral is "partial 16S ribosomal RNA". It matches the Rfam family "Bacterial small subunit ribosomal RNA", at positions 360 to 774 of the family's 1533-position model. The record is from RNAcentral.
AAUCUUGCUCAAUGGGCGAAAGCCUGACGCAGCCAUGCCGCGUGAAGGAUUAAGAUCUUAGGAUUGUAAAAUUCUUUCCCCGGGAACGAAAAUGACGGUACCCGGAGAAGAAGCACCGGCUAACUUCGUGCCAGCAGCCGCGGUAAUACGAAGGGGGCUAGAGUUGCGCGGAAUUCCUGGGCGUAAAGGGCGCGGAGGCGGGUUGUUAAGUCAGGGGUGAAAUCGCGGGGGUCAACCUCGGAACUGCCCUAGAUAAUGGCGAGCUUGAGUAUGAGAGGGGUAUGUGGAACUCCGAGUGUAGAGGUGAAAUUCGUAGAUAUUCGGAAGAAAACCAGUGGCGAAGGCGACAUACUGGCUCAUUACUGACGCUGAGGGGAGAAAGCGUGGGGAGCAAACA